This is a long non-coding RNA of Astatotilapia calliptera (eastern happy), 1148 nucleotides long. The record is from Ensembl. Lineage: Eukaryota; Metazoa; Chordata; Actinopteri; Cichliformes; Cichlidae.
GUCGCCGGGACCCAAAAUGGUCCCCAUCCAAAAGGUGAUAUAGCAAUGGAUUUUAUGAAUUUUUUUUCAUUUUUUUUCACAUCAGAUCUUUUAAACAACUUCAGACCUAUCCACUGAUAUAAAGUUUUUCAUAAUUUUUUUUUCAUUUUUUAUGUUUUUAUGGCUUUAUUGUCAUAAAAACCCCUGUUUUUUUGGGGGUAAAAAACCAUAAUAUGCAAUAUUUUUAAAAAAUGAGUUGCAAAUGGAACUACUUGGCAUGAGGUUAUUAGAGCCUUGGAUAGGUAAAGAAUUCAUAACAGAAUUGAUUUGGCUGCAUUAUUAUUUUUGGAGCAAUAAGAGUUUUUACAGUAUACAUCCAUUGGUAUCCCUUGGGACCCAAAGGGGUCCCCAUCCAAAAGGUGAUAUAGCAAUGAAUUUUAUGAAUUGUUUUUUCAUUUUUUUUCACAUCAGAUCUUUUAAACAACUUCAGACCUAUCCACAGAUAUAAAGUUUUUCAUAAAUUUGUAAAUAUUUUUUAUGUUUUUAUAGCUUUAUUGUCAUAAAGACCCCUGUUUAUUUUUUAUUUAUUUAUUUUGGGGGUGGGGGGUGGGGGGGGAAACCCGUAAUAUAUAUUAUAAAUAUAUUCUCAAUCACAUUCACACCACUCUCUUAUAUCAGUUCCACUACAUCGAGACUAUUUUAUGGUGGUCAGCUGUUUUAUUGUCAUGUAUUUUGCAUAAUAAGAUAACCAUGUCCUGCAUUCAAAACCACUGAAAAUGUCUAUGGUGGUGCUGUACCUAAUAUUGUGCUCAUUGGAUCCGAAACAUAUUUUUCCUUUAUUUUGAAGCCUGAGGCUUAGAUCCAUUAGGUAUUCACGAGAAAAAAAUUAUCACAUGUCAGGAUUACAGUAUAUCGAAAAUAUGUGAUUAUAAUGGGAGUCAAUGGGACCCAAAAUGGUACGAGGACCACAGACGGUAACACUUAUGUGAAUCUCCUUUACUAUACACAACACCAUAGAGGGGAUCAAUGAAUUUUAAAAAUAAUGCUAAAAUGCAACUCCUAGCCAAGUUUCAUGCAACUAGUCUUUAAAAUGACUGAUAUAUUGAGAAUCAAAAAUCCAAGGGGACCCAAAAGGGUCCCUAUUUUGACGAUGACCAUCAGAGGGUUAA